RNAcentral lists this ribosomal RNA (638 nucleotides) under uncultured bacterium. RNAcentral's name for it is "bacterial SSU rRNA". It matches the Rfam family "Bacterial small subunit ribosomal RNA", at positions 85 to 721 of the family's 1533-position model. The record is from RNAcentral.
UUGCCGGCGACCGGCGCACGGGUGAGUAACGCGUAUCCAACCUUCCGUACACUCAGGGAUAGCCUUUCGAAAGAAAGAUUAAUACCUGAUGGUAUGAUGAGAUUGCAUGAUAGCAUCAUUAAAGAUUUAUCGGUGUACGAUGGGGAUGCGUUCCAUUAGGUAGUAGGCGGGGUAACGGCCCACCUAGCCAACGAUGGAUAGGGGUUCUGAGAGGAAGGUCCCCCACAUUGGAACUGAGACACGGUCCAAACUCCUACGGGAGGCAGCAGUGAGGAAUAUUGGUCAAUGGACGAGAGUCUGAACCAGCCAAGUAGCGUGAAGGAUGAAGGUUCUAUGGAUUGUAAACUUCUUUUAUACGGGAAUAAACGGAUCCACGUGUGGAUUUUUGCAUGUACCGUAUGAAUAAGGAUCGGCUAACUCCGUGCCAGCAGCCGCGGUAAUACGGAGGAUCCGAGCGUUAUCCGGAUUUAUUGGGUUUAAAGGGAGCGUAGAUGGGUUGUUAAGUCAGUUGUGAAAGUUUGCGGCUCAACCGUAAAACUGCAAUUGAUACUGGCAGUCUUGAGUACAGUUGAGGUAGGCGGAAUUCGUGGUGUAGCGGUGAAAUGCUUAGAUAUCACGAAGAACUCCGAUUGCGAAGG